UUAUUAAUUAGAGUUGCCGCGAAACUC
Molecule: small RNA, 27 nt
Filed under: Bombyx mori (domestic silkworm)
Lineage: Eukaryota; Metazoa; Arthropoda; Insecta; Lepidoptera; Bombycidae
Description: ovarian small RNA-36890
Source: RNAcentral